AUGGCUGGGGCGCUGCACAGUUCUUGUUGUCGGGCUCUGUUAUUGUUGGCUGUGCUGUUGCUGACUUUGUCUCCAGGCAAUGCAUUCUACUUGCCUGGCAGCUACAUGCACACAUACUCCCAAGGUGAGGAUAUAUGGGCAAAGGUUAAUUCACUCACGUCCAUUGAGACUGAGAUGCCGUUCAGCUACUACAGUCUGCCAUACUGCCGUCCACCUGGUGGCAUCAAGAAGAGCGCCGAGAACCUGGGUGAGCUUCUCAUGGGUGACCAGAUCGACAACUCACCCUACCGGUUCCGUGUGAAUGUCAAUGAGUCCCUCUUCCUCUGCACCACGAAAGGGCUUAAUGAGAAUGAUGCAAAGCUUCUCAAGCAGCGGGCCCGUGAUCUUUAUCAGGUGAACAUGAUGCUGGACAAUCUGCCUGUCAUGCGUUUCGCUGAGCAGAAUGGUAUCACAGUACAGUGGACUGGUUUUCCUGUUGGUUACACUCCCGCUGGUAGUGCUGAUGAUUAUAUCAUCAACCAUUUAAAGUUUAAGGUCUUGGUCCAUGAGUACGAAGGAACAAAUGUAGAAAUAAUCGGUACUGGAGAAGAAGGAUCUGCUGUCAUAUCAGAGAUGGACAAGAAGGGGAUGUCUGGGUAUCAGAUUGUUGGUUUUGAGGUCGUGCCUUGCAGUGUGAAGCGUGACCCCGAGGAUUUCUCUAAGCUUAACAUGCAUGACACCAUUGAACCUGUGAGCUGCCCGGUGGAGCUUCGAAUGUCCCAAGUGAUCAGGCAACAGGAGAGGAUCACGUUUACCUAUGAUGUUGAGUUUGUGAAGAGUGACAUCAGGUGGCCAUCUAGGUGGGAUGCUUAUCUGAAGAUGGAGGCUGGUGCCAAGGUCCACUGGUUCUCUAUAAUGAACUCCCUCAUGGUCAUCUUGUUCUUGGCAGGAAUCGUCUUUAUUAUAUUCCUGAGAACUGUCAGGAGGGAUCUCACCACAUAUGAAGAGCUCGACAAGGAAGCGCAAGCACAGAUGAAUGAGGAGCUAUCUGGGUGGAAGCUUGUUGUUGGAGAUGUGUUCAGAGAGCCAACUUGUCCCAAGCUAUUAUGCAUCAUGAUUGGUGAUGGAGUUCAAAUUCUGGGCAUGUCAAUUGUAACAAUUGUUUUUUCCACACUUGGGUUCAUGUCUCCAGCUUCAAGAGGAAUGCUUCUUACCGGAAUGAUUAUUCUCUAUCUUUUCCUUGGUAUUGUUGCUGGGUAUGUCAGUGUUCGGCUAUGGAGGACUAUUAAGGGAACGUCUGAAGGAUGGAGAUCACUGUCAUGGUUGACUGCUUGCUUUUUCCCUGGUGUCAUGUUUACUGUCCUUACCAUCUUAAACUUUGUGCUGUGGGGAAGCAAGAGCACUGGAGCUUUACCUAUAUCAUUAUUUUUCACCCUUCUGGCUCUGUGGUUCUGUAUCUCUGUGCCGUUAACGCUUGUCGGUGGCUUCCUUGGUACAAGAGCAGAGCAAAUUGAAUUCCCCGUUCGCACCAACCAGAUUCCUAGAGAGAUCCCUGCACGGAAAUAUCCAUCAUGGCUUCUGGUCCUUGGAGCAGGCACGCUGCCAUUUGGAACCCUGUUUAUUGAGCUGUUCUUCAUUCUGUCGAGCAUCUGGCUUGGAAGGUUCUACUAUGUGUUUGGCUUCCUGCUGAUUGUCCUGCUGAUGCUUGUCAUUGUUUGCGCCGAGGUAUCUGUUGUCCUUACAUACAUGAAUCUCUGUGUUGAGGACUGGAGGUGGUGGUGGAAGGCUUUCUUUGCUUCAGGCUCUGUUGCGCUCUACGUGUUCCUCUACUCCAUCAACUACUUGGUCUUUGAUCUCAGAAGCCUGAGCGGUCCUGUCUCUGCAAUGCUCUACAUCGGCUACUCAUUCCUCAUGGCGUUCGCGAUCAUGCUCGCCACUGGAACCAUUGGCUUCUUGACGUCAAUAUCCUUCGUGCACUACCUCUUCGCGUCCGUGAAGAUCGAUUGA
RNAcentral lists this ribosomal RNA (1986 nucleotides) under Triticum aestivum (bread wheat). RNAcentral's name for it is "partial small subunit ribosomal RNA". Lineage: Eukaryota; Viridiplantae; Streptophyta; Magnoliopsida; Poales; Poaceae. The record is from RNAcentral.